AUGCCACAAUUCAGUUUUCCGAUCAACAAUUUAAAACCACACAAGCUUGAGUCUGAAACUAAACAUAUCAUAGCACUAGACAAAUCUGAAUAUUACAUUCGAUCUCAAAUCUACAGAAAUUUAGAGAGAGGGAGAUGGCAGCAGCAAGAGGUUGAGGGAGAAGAAGUAGCAGCGGGUUGGUGGGUGAGGAGCAGCAAAGGCGUGGGGAAAGAGCAACAGCAGCAAGGUUUGGGAAGAAGAAGGAGCAGCAGCAGGUUGGCGAUGGGAGAGGGAGCAGCAUCAGUUUUAAGAGGAAGAGCAGCAGAGGCGUGGGGAAAGAAGAGCAGCAGCAGGUUGAAGAUAAAGGAGCAGCAGACAACAGAGUUUGGGUUCAGAGAAGAAGAAGUGGCAGCAGUUUUGAGGUUCAGAGAAGGGGCGCAGCAGAGAGGUUCAAAGAAGCAGCUAGCUGGGCAUCAGGGGCGUUGGAGAGAAGGUGCAGCAGCAGUUUUGGGGAGAAGAAAGUAG
This 504-nucleotide ribosomal RNA is filed under the name Triticum aestivum (bread wheat). Its description in RNAcentral is "partial small subunit ribosomal RNA". The record is from RNAcentral. Lineage: Eukaryota; Viridiplantae; Streptophyta; Magnoliopsida; Poales; Poaceae.